Molecule: unclassified non-coding RNA, 339 nt
Filed under: soil metagenome
Description: partial contains 5.8S ribosomal RNA, internal transcribed spacer 2, and large subunit ribosomal RNA
Rfam family: 5.8S ribosomal RNA (bases 1-120)
Source: RNAcentral
GAUGAAGAACGCAGCGAAAUGCGAUAAGUAAUGCGAAUUGCAGAAUUCCGUGAGUCAUCGAAUCUUUGAACGCACAUUGCGCCCUUUGGCAUUCCGAAGGGCAUGCCUGUUCGAGCGUCAUUUAUCAACCCUCAAGCCCGGCUUGCGGUUGGGUCCCGCCGUGGGCGACCACGGCGGACCCGAAAGGUAAUGGCGGUGCCCGUGGGGCCCUGGACGCAGCGAGCUUCUCGGCACGCGUCCCGGCGGUCCCCGGCGCCGUCUCCACCAAUCCACCCCGCAGAUUGACCUCGGAUCAGGUAGGGAUACCCGCUGAACUUAAGCAUAUCAAUAAGCGGAGGA